Molecule: ribosomal RNA, 447 nt
Filed under: uncultured bacterium
Lineage: Bacteria
Description: partial 16S ribosomal RNA
Rfam family: Bacterial small subunit ribosomal RNA
Source: RNAcentral
AGCGAACGCUGGCGGCAGGCCUAACACAUGCAAGUCGAGCGCCCAGCAAUGGGAGCGGCAGACGGGUGAGUAACGCGUGGGGAUGUGCCCAAUGGUGCGGAAUAACCCAGGGAAACUUGGAUUAAUACCGCAUGUGCCCUUCGGGGGAAAGAUUUAUCGCCAUUGGAUCAACCCGCGUCUGAUUAGCUAGUUGGUGAGGUAAAGGCUCACCAAGGCGACGAUCAGUAGCUGGUCUGAGAGGAUGAUCAGCCACACUGGGACUGAGACACGGCCCAGACUCCUACGGGAGGCAGCAGUGGGGAAUAUUGGACAAUGGGCGCAAGCCUGAUCCAGCCAUGCCGCGUGAGUGAUGAAGGCCUUAGGGUUGUAAAGCUCUUUCGCCGGUGAAGAUAAUGACGGUAACCGGAGAAGAAGCCCCGGCUAACUUCGUGCCAGCCGCCGCCGUAA